AGGGGAUUAGCAUAGUGGCCUAAUGCAACGGGCUUUGACCCCGUGAUCGGUUGUUCGAAUCAACCAUCCCCUG
Molecule: transfer RNA, 73 nt
Filed under: Escherichia phage Av-05
Lineage: Duplodnaviria; Heunggongvirae; Uroviricota; Caudoviricetes
Rfam family: tRNA
About the family: Transfer RNA (tRNA) molecules are approximately 80 nucleotides in length. Their secondary structure includes four short double-helical elements and three loops (D, anti-codon, and T loops).
Source: Rfam by way of RNAcentral